AAUUGAAGAGUUUGAUCAUGGCUCAGAUUGAACGCUGGCGGCAGGCCUAACACAUGCAAGUCGAGCGGCAGCGGGAAAGUAGCUUGCUACUUUUGCCGGCGAGCGGCGGACGGGUGAGUAAUGCCUGGGGAUCUGCCCAGUCGAGGGGGAUAACUACUGGAAACGGUAGCUAAUACCGCAUACGCCCUACGGGGGAAAGCAGGGGACCUUCGGGCCUUGCGCGAUUGGAUGAACCCAGGUGGGAUUAGCUAGUUGGU
Molecule: ribosomal RNA, 257 nt
Filed under: Aeromonas veronii
Lineage: Bacteria; Pseudomonadati; Pseudomonadota; Gammaproteobacteria; Aeromonadales; Aeromonadaceae
Description: partial 16S ribosomal RNA
Rfam family: Bacterial small subunit ribosomal RNA
Source: RNAcentral